UCACUCUGGGAUGGACCUGCGGUGCAUUAGCUAGUUGGUAAGGUAACGGCUUACCAAGGCGAUGAUGCAUAGCCGAGUUGAGAGACUGAUCGGCCACAAUGGAACUGAGACACGGUCCAUACUCCUACGGGAGGCAGCAGUAGGGAAUCUUCCACAAUGGGCGCAAGCCUGAUGGAGCAACACCGCGUGAGUGAAGAAGGGUUUCGGCUCGUAAAGCUCUGUUGUUGGAGAAGAACGUGCGUGAGAGUAACUGUUCACGCAGUGACGGUAUCCAACCAGAAAGUCACGGCUAACUACGUGCCAGCAGCCGCGGUAAUACGUAGGUGGCAAGCGUUAUCCGGAUUUAUUGGGCGUAAAGCGAGCGCAGGCGGUUGCUUAGGUCUGAUU
RNAcentral lists this ribosomal RNA (387 nucleotides) under Lactobacillus sp. UN_55. RNAcentral's name for it is "bacterial SSU rRNA". It matches the Rfam family "Bacterial small subunit ribosomal RNA", at positions 215 to 594 of the family's 1533-position model. The record is from RNAcentral. Lineage: Bacteria; Bacillati; Bacillota; Bacilli; Lactobacillales; Lactobacillaceae.